GAUGAACGCUGGCGGCGUGCCUAAUACAUGCAAGUCGAACGAAACUUCUUUAUCACCAAGUGCUUGCACUCACCGAUAAAGAGUUGAGUGGCGAACGGGUGAGUAACACGUGGGCAACCUGCCCAAAAGAGGGGGAUAACACUUGGAAACAGGUGCUAAUACCGCAUAACCAUAGUUACCGCAUGGUAACUAUGUAAAAGGUGGCUAUACUACCGCUUUUGGAUGGGCCCGCGGCGCAUUAGCUAGUUGGUAGGGUAAAGGCUUACCAAGGCAAUGAUGCGUAGCCGAAUUGAGAGGUUGAUCGGCCACAUUGGGACUGAGACACGGCCCAAACUCCUACGGGAGGCAGCAGUAGGGAAUCUUCCACAAAGGGCGAAAGCCUGAUGGAGCAACGCCGCGUGGGUGAAGAAGGUCUUCGGAUCGUAAAACCCUGUUGUUAGAGAAGAAAGUGCGUGAGAGUAACUGUUCACGUUUCGACGGUAUCUAACCAGAAAGCCACGGCUAACUACGUG
This 512-nucleotide ribosomal RNA is filed under the name uncultured bacterium. RNAcentral describes it as "partial 16S ribosomal RNA". It matches the Rfam family "Bacterial small subunit ribosomal RNA", at positions 28 to 507 of the family's 1533-position model. The record is from RNAcentral.